CCAUUUUGCUAACUUACAAGGUUGAUAUUACGGUCAUGAUCUUUCAAACCUCUAUCCGUCUACGAUGAUAUCCUUCUAACUACAUACUUUGAAUGGGGAUAGUUGAAAUAAUUCAAAUACAUUUAUGUAUCUUUUUAUAUUUGAGCCAAGAAGGAUUAUCUAGGAAUGUUUCCAUUCUAAUGUCUAAUCUGUCCAUAAGCGGAUUCUUCUUCCUUAGCGCACAUUCUUGUCAUGAUCCGAGACUACCCCGCGGUGCCU
RNAcentral lists this long non-coding RNA (258 nucleotides) under Capsicum annuum. RNAcentral's name for it is "long non-coding RNA (CANN_LNC008168)". The record is from RNAcentral. Lineage: Eukaryota; Viridiplantae; Streptophyta; Magnoliopsida; Solanales; Solanaceae.